UACCCGCGGUCCACGUCGCAGCUACAUUUAUUUGGUCUAAAACAUCCGUAGCUUGUUUGGUAAGCUUCCUGUGAAAUCCUGAGUCUCAAGCUCAGGGCGUGCAGGAAAGACUGCCAUACUAGAGACCGGAAGACGUAAGAAGUACAUCUAAAGUAGCGGUAAAAUGUGUUAAUCUUAGGUGGACUCACAAUAGCGAAGGCAUCUUACGAGCACGGUUCUGACAGUAAGGGAUGAAGGCUAGGGGCGCAAAGUGG
Molecule: ribosomal RNA, 254 nt
Filed under: uncultured archaeon
Lineage: Archaea
Description: partial 16S ribosomal RNA
Rfam family: Archaeal small subunit ribosomal RNA
Source: RNAcentral